GUCUAUGGCCAUAUCACCUUGAAUGUCCUCAAUCUUGUCUGAUCUUGUGGAGCUAAGCAGGGUUGGACCUGGUUAGUACUUGGGUGGGAGACAGAAACAACACUCUAUGUGUAUGUAUU
Molecule: non-coding RNA, 119 nt
Organism: Equus caballus (horse)
Lineage: Eukaryota; Metazoa; Chordata; Mammalia; Perissodactyla; Equidae
Source: Rfam